UUCGCAAUGCCCGAAAGGGUGACGAAGCGACGCCGCGCGGGUGAGGAAGGCCUUCGGGUUGUAAAGCCCUGUUAGGAGUUAAGAAAUGUAGACUCGCUAAUAUCGGGUCUAUUUGACAAAGGCUCCAAAGGAAGCCACGGCUAACUCUGUGCCAGCAGCCGCGGUAAUACAGAGGUGGCAAGCGUUGUUCGGAAUUAUUGGGCGUAAAGAGCACGUAGGUGGAUUUGUAAGUCAGACGUGAAAGCCUUCUGUUCAACGGAAGAAUUGCAUCUGAAACUACAAACCUUGAGUGUAGGAGGGGAGAAUGGAACUUCUGGUGGAGCGGUGAAAUGCGUAGAUAUCAGAAGGAACGCCGGCGGCGAAAGCGAUUCUUUGGCCUAUUACUGACACUCAGUGUACGAAAGCUAGGGGAGCAAACGGGAUUAGAUACCCCGGUAGUCCUAGCCGUAAACGAUGGGCACUAAGUAGAGGGGUUUU
Molecule: ribosomal RNA, 477 nt
Filed under: uncultured Planctomycetales bacterium
Lineage: Bacteria; Pseudomonadati; Planctomycetota; Planctomycetia; Planctomycetales
Description: bacterial SSU rRNA
Rfam family: Bacterial small subunit ribosomal RNA
Source: RNAcentral